RNAcentral lists this ribosomal RNA (372 nucleotides) under uncultured organism. Its description in RNAcentral is "partial 16S ribosomal RNA". It matches the Rfam family "Bacterial small subunit ribosomal RNA", at positions 527 to 896 of the family's 1533-position model. The record is from RNAcentral.
GUAGGUGGCAAGCGUUGUCCGGAAUUAUUGGGCGUAAAGCGCGCGCAGGGCGGUUCUUUAAGUCUGAUGUGAAAGCCCACGGCUCAACCGUGGAGGGUCAUUGGAAACUGGAGAACUUGAGUACAGAAGAGGAAAGCGGAAUUCCACGUGUAGCGGUGAAAUGCGUAGAGAUGUGGAGGAACACCAGUGGCGAAGGCGGCUUUCUGGUCUGUAACUGACGCUGAGGCGCGAAAGCGUGGGGAGCAAACAGGAUUAGAUACCCUGGUAGUCCACGCCGUAAACGAUGAGUGCUAAGUGUUAGGGGGUUUCCGCCCCUUAGUGCUGCAGCUAACGCAUUAAGCACUCCGCCUGGGGAGUACGACCGCAAGGUUG